GAUGAACGCUAGCUACAGGCUUAACACAUGCAAGUCGAGGGGUAACAAGAGAAAAGCUUGCUUUUCUUGUUGACGACCGGCGCACGGGUGAGUAACGCGUAUCCAACCUGCCUAUAACUAGGGAAUAACCUUGCGAAAGUAAGACUAAUACCCUAUGAUUUCCUUUGAUGGCAUCAGAUUAGGAAUAAAGAUUUAUCGGUUAUAGAUGGGGAUGCGUCUGAUUAGCUUGUUGGCGGGGUAACGGCCCACCAAGGAAACGAUCAGUAGGGGUUCUGAGAGGAAGGUCCCCCACAUUGGAACUGAGACACGGUCCAAACUCCUACGGGAGGCAGCAGGGAGGAAUAUUGGUCCAUGGGCGGAAGCCUGAACCAGCCAAGUAGCGUGCAGGAUGACGGCCCUAUGGGUUGUAAACUGCUUUUAUACAGGAAUAAAGUUAGCCACGUGUGGUUAUUUGUAGGUACUGUAUGAAUAAGGACCGGCUAAUUCCGUGCCAGCCGCCGCAGUAA
Molecule: ribosomal RNA, 506 nt
Filed under: uncultured bacterium
Lineage: Bacteria
Description: partial 16S ribosomal RNA
Rfam family: Bacterial small subunit ribosomal RNA
Source: RNAcentral